RNAcentral lists this ribosomal RNA (506 nucleotides) under uncultured bacterium. RNAcentral describes it as "partial 16S ribosomal RNA". It matches the Rfam family "Bacterial small subunit ribosomal RNA", at positions 30 to 523 of the family's 1533-position model. The record is from RNAcentral.
AUUGAACGCUGGCGGCAGGCCUAACACAUGCAAGUCGAACGGCAGCGGGGGAUAGCUUGCUAUCCUGCCGGCGAGUGGCGGACGGGUGAGUAAUGCAUGGGGAGCUGCCCAGUCGAGGGGGAUAACAACUGGAAACGGUUGCUAAUACCGCAUACGCCCUUUGGGGGAAAGGUGGGGAACUUCGGUCCUACCGCGAUUGGAUGCGCCCAUGUGGGAUUAGCUAGUUGGUGAGGUAACGGCUCACCAAGGCGACGAUCUCUAGCUGGUCUGAGAGGAUGACCAGCCACACUGGAACUGAGACACGGUCCAGACUCCUACGGGAGGCAGCAGUGGGGAAUAUUGCACAAUGGGGGAAACCCUGAUGCAGCCAUGCCGCGUGUGUGAAGAAGGCCUUCGGGUUGUAAAGCACUUUCAGUCAGGAGGAAGGGGUGAUGGCUAAUAUCCAUCAUCAUUGACGUUACUGACAGAAGAAGCACCGGCUAACUCCGUGCCAGCAGCCGCCGCGG